This 202-nucleotide unclassified non-coding RNA is filed under the name Hevea brasiliensis (rubber tree). The record is from RNAcentral. Lineage: Eukaryota; Viridiplantae; Streptophyta; Magnoliopsida; Malpighiales; Euphorbiaceae.
GAUGCUAGCUGAGAUAUCGGAGAUUGAGUCCAACAAAGGCGUUACCAAACAGUGUGAGUCAGUACUGAUCACGGGAAGCGAAAAGAGAAGGCUCAGAAGAGCCCCUAGCUCGCCACCGACACCAUCCAUUGAAGUAAUUGAACUGAGGGUGUGUGAACUGGGAGACAAAACUCUUGUUGUAAGUCUGACUUGCAGGAAGAAG